GUACUGUGCGAACGUUAUUCGGAAUCACUGGGCUUAAAGGGUGCGUAGGCGGCUAUUCAAGUCGGAUGUGAAAUCUCUCGGCCUAACCGAGGAAUUGCGUUCGAAACUGAAUAGCUUGAGUGAGAUAGGGGUGUGCGGAACUUCCAGUGGAGCGGUGAAAUGUGUUGAUAUUGGAAGGAACGCCGGUGGCGAAGGCGGCACACUGGGUCUCAACUGACGCUGAGGCACGAAAGCCAGGGUAGCGAACGGGAUUAGAUACCCCGGUAGUCCUGGCUGUAAACGAUGAGUACUAGACGGGAGGAGCUUCGGUUUCUCCGGUCGCAGCGAAAGCAAUAAGUACUCCGCCUGGGGAGUAUGGUCGCAAGGCUG
This 369-nucleotide ribosomal RNA is filed under the name uncultured organism. RNAcentral's name for it is "partial 16S ribosomal RNA". It matches the Rfam family "Bacterial small subunit ribosomal RNA", at positions 527 to 896 of the family's 1533-position model. The record is from RNAcentral.